Molecule: non-coding RNA, 96 nt
Filed under: unclassified sequences
Description: RT-17 RNA
Rfam family: RT-17 RNA
About the family: Bacteroidales (Bacteroidetes), Clostridiales (Firmicutes).
Source: Rfam by way of RNAcentral
AACCUCGCCUCUUGGCGAAAAAUAAACUAAAGGCUAAGGUACUGGUAGACCGUGCAUCGGGCCGAAGGUAACGAGGUCAGAAGAAAAAGCAGACAA